Molecule: long non-coding RNA, 9322 nt
Filed under: Citrus x clementina
Lineage: Eukaryota; Viridiplantae; Streptophyta; Magnoliopsida; Sapindales; Rutaceae
Description: Citrus clementina (C. clementina) long non-coding RNA (CCLE_LNC004054)
Source: RNAcentral
AAAAAAUUAAUACAGUACAGUGUAGUGCCAAACAUUGCACAGUAUUAUUAUAAUACAAUGCUAAUACAAUACAGCAUAAUACAAUACAUCAGCAUUAAAAUAAUGCAAUACAGCAUAAUAUAAUACAGUGUGCCAAACGCACCCAUAGUGUCUUUAAAUGAGAUGGAGAGUAAUUUUCAAUCCACUUAUAUACUUAUGAAUCAAUAGCUGGAGAACUCUACUACCCAUGUACUAACUAAUGGCACUAGUUUUCAUGUCAAUUAAUCAAGAAUUAAGCAAGCAUCAUAGGACCAAAGAAGUAACUUCAAUCCAUUUGGCGAAUGUAAUCUAAAUAAUCAAAGAUAAAUAGCCGGGGUAGCUCAAUUUCCUUUAUGGUGUUUGCAAUGCAUGCUUCUCAUAUAUACAUGUUCUCGUAGCGAUCACAAUGCAUGCUUCUCAUAUAUACAUGUUCUCGUAGCGAUCACAAUGCAUGCCCAUAAUGUGAGCAUAUGUUCUCAUGGCGAUCAAAAUUUACUUUUAUAAAAGAGGAGUUCUUAAUCCAUUCACAUAAAUAGCAUAAAGACCUUAACUCUCAUUGGCGUAAUAAUAAUAGGUGAUCAUUAUCAUCUAUGGCCAUUCAAUAAUUCAAUAUUCAAAAUCCAGCAAACAUGGUGAAUAAAUUAAAGAUGAAACUCAUAAUUAGCAAAAUAACCAAGGCAAAUAAAUUGAUUUCCUACUCUUCUCGAGCUUUUCUAAUAAUCCUUUUGGCUCUUUCUUUGUAAAAUGGCCAAAAACCUCAUGAUUUACCAUUUGUUUUGAAUCAAAUUAGCAAGAUAAAUAGUGAUAAAUGUGGUUGCUUGCCUAUUUUUCAGCAAAAUGGUUGAAAACCCCAUGCCAUUCACUUUGAAUCAAAUUAGCAAGAUAAACUGUGAUAAAGGCGGUGGCUCACCUACCCUUUUGCGAAAUGGUCAAAAAUCUCAUGAUUUGCCAUUUGCUUUAAAUCAAAUUAGCAAGAUGAAUUUUGAUAAAGGUGGCGGCUCGCCUGUCCUUUUUUGAAAUGGUCAAAAACCUCAUGAUCCCCCAUUUAAUUUGAAUCAAAUUUGUAAGAUAAAUAAUGAUAAAGGUGACUGCUCUCCUGCCUUUAUGUGAAAUGGUUCAAAACCUUAUGAUCUGUCAUUUGCUUUAAAUCAAAUUAGUAAGAUAAAUUGUGAUAAAGGUGGCUCCUCACCUGUCCCUAUGUGCAAUGGUCAAAAACCUCAUGAUCUGUUAUUCGCUUUGAAACAAAUCAAUAGGAUAAAUUGUGACAAAGGGGCGACUUGUCUGCCCUUGUAAGUACCUCGAACAUCUUAUUCAUGUGGUUGUCCUUCACUUUUCAAAUUCUUCAUCCCUUACUUUUGCUUAAGCAAGAGAAUGGAGAGUAGUCAUGCACAUAUCAUAGCGGAAUGUCACGGUACUAAGGUAUGACUACUUAUUCUACCCUGGGGUCUUUUUUGGUCAUUCCUCUCAUUCUUCAAACAAUCGCAUUUUACUGAUCUUUCUAAAAAGUUAUUGGUCAUAUCUUUGUAUUCUUUUUGCUAGUUCUUGCCGCGAGCAGUUCCUCAUGAUUAAGAUAGGUUAGGUAUCCUAGCUUAUUAUGAGAUAAUACAAUCUCUCGGCGUUAUACUGCGUUGAAUGAACACCUUUCUCAAUAGUAGCAUAGAGUUAAACUAAUGGAAAAUAUUUUUUUAAUAUCAUUUUAAACUAUUCAUCCACAUUCUAUAAUCAAAAGGUGAAUAAAAGAUCCCACAUCAUCAUAUUCUGAAAAAGAAAUGAAUUCAUAGGUAGUAGAAGCAUGGAUCAUUACACAUCUCAACUUUGCUAUCCCAAAGAGAAAGGGCCCAAGGCCUCUCGUUCUGUCAUUAAAGACUUAAGGAAUUGAGAAGUGCAACUAACUAUUGCAAGGGUACCUUGGAUUCCCCUAAAGUUUUCACACAAUAUUUACAAAUAUAUAUUUAUAUAGAAGCUGACGAUAGCAGGGUACCCUUAUGAUCCUGAAAAGGUCUUUAUACAAUAUUUACUACUACAUAUUCAUAAUAGACUUGACCUCUGCGAGAUAUCCAAUAAGACCCCACAAGGUCUUCAUAGAAUACUUAUAAAUAUAUAUUCAUAAUGAAAUUGACCAUUGCAGGGUUUAUAUGAGUUCCCCAUAAGGUCUUUAUAUAGUACUUAUAAACAUAUAUGAAUGAUGUUAAGACUAAAUAGAGGUGAAGAGAAAUUCCCUGAAAGCACACUUUUAGUUAUAUUUCCAGGCAUUAACUACUCCUUUGAAUUUGGAAGUGCAUCUACAAAAAUCAAUUGUUGCUUCACUGGUUCUCAUUAAUAUGUUUCCUCGCUCAAUGCCCUAGGUCUCUAUCCUUGUAAGUCAUUAGCAAAUUCAGAUGUGGAGUUGGCGAUGACUUGAAUCUAAAUAGCUGAGCGACGUCUGCUUUCUCCUGAUCUAGUAGGUAAAGCUCCAUUUGCCAGAUGUUGGCAUACCUCAAGUACUUCACAUGGUGGUGUUUACAUAUGAAGGUACCUCGAUUGCCCUUUUAUUCAAACAUGACCUAAAUCAAAUUAGCCACCAUUAUGAAUGCUUUUUGUAGCGCUCUCUAUAGACCGCGCCAAUUGUUUUUAUCAAAUUUUCACUAUCAUCCGAUUCUAUCCAAUUCAGUAGUUCUCACCAAAUGCAGCACAAAUCUAAUUCAAACAAAUAAAUUCAUAUUUGAAAGAGUUUGCGCUAAGUUUGGGUUUAUAUGUGCUUAUUUCUUUAUAUGUUUGGGGUAGGUAGUUUAACUAAACUAAUAUGUGUAGCAAGCUGAUGUGGUCAUAUGAGAAAUAAUAGAGAGAGCUUAGUAGAGCCCCAUAGAAGUUGAUAUAGGGACUAAAGUUUUAAGUGUAACUCUAAUGUACUUGGGGAUAAUUGGUAACUCUAUGAAAUUAGAGUUAUUAUGACACUUUUAGACUUAAAUUAAUAAUUUUUAGAUAGUAAAUGACAUGUUUUUAUUGUAUUUUAGUUAUAUUUUGCAUGAAUAUCCAUUUUGCUUAUUUUUAAUAAAUUGCGUUAUUUUAAAAUAAUUUGUGCUUAGAUUAUAUGCAUAUUUGUAGGUGACCGAAAGUUCAAGGGAAAGAAUGUUGCUGCAACAAAUUUGCAUAGAUAAUGAAAGAACUUAGCUAUAGAAGAAUUGAAACAAGUUUGAAACAGUAAAGAUGUUGAAGUCGUUGCUGUAGCAAUCCUAGAGAAAUGACAAAAUAGAUUUCGCAUGCAUCAACUAAAAGAUUACGAUAUAGAGUUUUUUAAAAUGAAGGAUACACGCCAUAUACUUUCGAUUGCCUUAAUUUUGAGUUAUAUAAGGUGCAAACUUGCAAAGGAAAGAGAGAAAGUUGUCACCCAAAGGAUAUACUGCAAAGAAACAAUAAGAAAAAUAUAAAUCAAGAGAUAGAUUAAAGGUUGUACUAGAGGAGAAAUCACAUAGAUCAAUCAUAAAUUAGUUCUUCUUAUCAUUUUCUUAUUUUCUAUUUAUUCGCGGGGAUAUAUUUAAUGGCUGAAACUCUUUUAUUUAAUUUUCUAUCGUAAAUCAUGAACUGAAUUUGAUUGUAGUUGAGUGAUAAAUUAUCUUAAUGGAUGUUUGACUGACAUAUGUGUGUUGCUUUGUGUUUGCUAUAGCAUUUUGUCUUAAUUAUUUUUAUUUUAAUUUCCUAUUUCAGUUGACCACCAAUUUAGUGGAUACUAGCUAAGAAAGAGCCUCGAAAAUGUCUGACUUAGUGGAUCUCAUUAAGACAAUAUUUGGUUUAGAUUGGGUUUCCCAAGUUGAGUUAAUCUCAGUUUGAAUAGGGUCAUACUUAAUCUAAAAUUAAUAAUGAACUAGACAUAGGGAUUCAUCUUGUAGGGUAAAGAAAACCUAAAACAUUUAAUGUUAUAUUUAAUGUUGGCAUAACAAGUGAUCAUUAUUAGGUUGCAUUAGAUAUAAGAAAUCCAACAGGCGACAACUAAGGAUGCAUGGGGGAUUAUGUCCAGUGCUGUAGUAGCUACUGUAGCAACAAUGUUGUAAUUGAAAAAUAGUCAAUGCUAUUAAGUGAGUUUAUUCAUUCAACUACUAUAUUCCCAUUGGUUGCAUCCUUGUGUUUGUCGUGAGAAUUUUCGUUAUUGUGUUUUCAUUUUAAUUAGUUUAUUAAUUUCAUAAAUUGUCUUAUUUUAAUUUAGAAUAAACUGCACUGUUAAGGUUGCUGUAGCAAAUCUGAUAACAUCAAUCCCUAUGGAGACGAUCUGAAUAUUCAUCAAUAUAUUACUUGUUGUGUACACUUGCACAUUGAUAGCCAUAGCAUUAAAGAUCGCACACCAAUAGCUCAGGUGGUCUCAUGGAAUACUUAGCUUAGUUAGGGUAUCUCAAGUAAGCUUAUACGUGAAACACAAUCUGGACUUCAAUGUGAAAAUAUAGCAAAACAAAUAUAAAUGUAAAUAAUACACAAUAUUUAUGUGGUUCGUCCUUUCACCUACAUCCACGGGAGCAAGUAAUCAUCAAUCUACAGUAUAAAUGGGAGGUUACAUGAGAUUUUACAUUGUACAAGAUGAAUAACAUAAGCUAGAUAACUAUAAAAAAUGUUUGGUGUUGCAAUGAUCAAGAUGGUGAAUAAAGAUUUGGAGAGUGAUAAUUAAAGAUGGCCAAUGGGUCGGGCGGCACGUGGCACAGCACGAAACGAGUACGUUUCAGUAAGGCAUGUGCCACGGCACGAUGUGCAUGUAAGCUGGGCCAGGUUUAGAAAUUUAGGCACACGGGCUUUAAAAGUACAGGAUGAUUAGAGAUGUGCUAAAGCACAGUACAUAAAAAAGCACACAAUAAGCAUCUUUCACUUUCUAAUGAAAGUUAAAAAUUUUAUGAUUUUACAAAUAAUUUGAAAUUAGAACUUUUAAUAUAUUUUAUUAACUUAAGUUUUUUAAUUUCAUUUAAUUCUUAGUUUAAAAAAAGCUCUAAUUGAUUUAUGUUUAUAAUUUAUUAAACGAAUAAUUGAUAUCAUGAUUUUAAUAAAUAAAAUUAUAAAUAUAUGAUUUUAUAAAUAUUUAUUAAUAAUAUUAUAGACUAUGAUCUAUGACUCCAUAUAAGUCUAAGUUAACAACUAAGUUAAUCCUUAAGAAAAAUUUAUUAUUGUUGUUAUUGUUAAGUAUUAAAAAAGAAUUCUAAAAUUGUACGGUCUAACUUAGUAACUAGUAUUACAUUCUCGUACUAUUAUUAUUGAAUAUGGACUUGAGUUUUGAGUUUUUAAUUCUAUUGAAUUUGACUAAAAGGCAAAUGGACAUAAAAAAGUACAUAAGGUUGAAAAAAGUAUGUCAACAACUUGGCAUGCCCUCUUAAAAAAUUAUAAAAAUACAAAAAUACUUUUCGUGCUUCUUUUCAACAACACGGCACAACGCGGCACGACCUAAGGCACGACACGCAUGAGCAUGGCAUGAAUGGGAAUGACACGUGCGCCGGGUCGGGCCUAAGCAAAAAAUAAAAAGAAGGCAUGACAUAUCACAACACAAGCACAAGCACAAAUGGGCCUUCCUUUGCUGGCCUGGCCUGUUGGCCAUCUCUAGUGAUAAUAUGGUGGAAAAGAUUAUGAAGGUGGAGAAUAUAAAUGGCCUCCAAAAAUGGAAAAAUUGGUGAUGAUCUAAAAGAUGGAGAGAAAAGAAGAGAGUUUGUGUGAGAUAGAGAAGAGAAAAGAGGAGGCAAGGAGAUGAUCGAAUGAAAGCAUGCCUUAAUAUGAGUGAAUAAGAUAUUUAUAUAGUGCAGGCUAGUGGUAAGGAGACUGCAUAAAAGUUAAGGUUAGAUAUUAUCUUUAGGUUAAAAAGAGAAUGCUUUUAGGGUUAUGUGUCGUAUUUAGGAAAAAAAAGGACAAAAAUAUUCUUUUUGUACUAGAUUUAUUCUUUCUCACAAAUAUUUUAAAGCAUCCAACCUUGAUUAUUGGUUUCUAAUCUAAUCCAAUGUAAUAAAUUCUUCCAAAUGGCAUCUUUAUGCUACUCCAAGUAUUGUGCGUAUUUGUAAUUGUCUACAUGUCAUUCAUUUAUGAGUCCAAAAACCAAAUUUACCCUAGACAUCAACAUUUUUCAAGCAAGAAAUAGCUAGUGGCAACUAUUCAGUCACUCUCCAGCCAAACAUACCUCUGGCCUCAAUCAUGAGUUAGAGUGAUAGCAUAAACAAUGUGGUCAUAAUCUCUGCAAAGAACGAUGAGUUAUAUGACCUAAACUAACAAUAAAAGCACCCAAAAAAUCUUCUUUACUAUCCUAAAACACUCCGCCAUAGGUAACAUGAAUAAUUCUUGCAGCUGUGCACCUUAAACAAUCAACACCAAUAUUGUUAAGAUCUGAAGCUAUGCAAGCUAUUAUCUUAUGGAAUUAGACACUCAAAUCUCCAAUAUCUUUUUGUGGAUUUAAACUUUUAGUAAAUAUUUAUGGUGUGUUUACUAAUCAACAAUCGAAAUGAGAUAAAAUCGGAAUAGAAUAGAAUGAGAAUGGGUUAAAAUCAGAAUCAAGAAUAAGAAUCAAAAUAAAUUAUUUAUUUAAGGUGUAGGAAUCGAAAUCAAAAUGAGAUUCAUUUCUGUUGAUGAAUUUACUUUAUCUUCAAAUUGAAAUAAACUAUUAUAAUUUACUAAAAUACCCUUUAUUAAUUAUUGUCCUUGAUAUUAUUUAGUAUCUAUUAUAACAACAAUAAUAAUAACAACGACAACAACAACAACAUUAAUAAAUUUUAAUAAUGAAAUAAAUAGAUAAAUAAUAGUAACAAUUAAUAAUAAUGAUGACAUUGAUAAAUAAUAACAACAAUAUCAAUAAUAAUAAUAAUAAUAAAUAAAUUAAAGUAAUUAAACAAACUUAUAUUUACAGCAUGAAUAGCUCCAGAAUAAGAAAAUUUUGUCUCUGUGCCGACGACGAAGACAACAAUAACGACAACACUCCUUCAACUGCCACAACCACUGCACAAAGAAACCUCCAUCUUCAUCAAAACCUAAGAAACUAGGUGAUGAAAUCAGGUGGUGGCUGAUCGGUGACAAGCAAUAAAGAUUGCAAUCUGUUGACGAGCUGCUCCGGCUACUAAGUGAUGCGAGAGAAAAAGUGUUGAUUGUUUUUAGGUGAGAGAGAUGAGAUGGGUCGACUGCUAGGUUAGGGCUUUUGGAUUUUUUUUCAAUUUAUUUUUUUCAAUGAAAAAGAGGGCAUUUUUGAAAAACAAAAGAAAAAAACAAUGGGGACAUUUUCGUCAUGGCUGGGAAUGGGAUUGUGAGUCCCAGCCCGCCCCACUCGAAUCACAAUCCUGGUAAUGACUCAUUAUUUUGUGUGGGACCCAUAUAACUCAUUCAUAUUCCUUUCCUUAAUUAAACAAGUUAACAAGUUCUUCAUUCUGAUUCUCAUUGUUGUUUAGUAAACACUCCAUUAGUCAUAAUAUUAUGUUUAUUGUAGUUAUGUAAAAUAUAUGACAGUAUUUCACUUAAUUCAUCUUCAUAAUCAUAUCUUAGAGAGAAUUUGGAAAAGGGAAAAUACAAAAAUCUCCUAUUACUUUGGGAAAUUAUUAUUUUUUCUCCUAUGUAUUUUAAAACUCAUUAGAACUCUUUUAAUAUUAAUUACAAUGCAGAUACAUUUUUAAAGGGUAAUUUAGUCCUUUUAUAAGAGUAAAGUAUAAAUGUUGCUGGAAAAUUGAAUGGACUUUUGCAUUAAUUUUAAAUAAAAUAAGAAGGAAUUAACGAAAUAUUAUUAUGAUGCGUCAAUCAAUCAAUAAUUGAAAUGGGAUAGAAUCAAAAUAAAUGAAUCAGAAUGAGUUGAAUGAAAAUGGAGAAUGAGAAUUAGAAUAUAUUAUUUACUUUAGAUGUAAAAAUCAGAAUUAGAGCAACUAUUUUGCCAUUAAUAUGUUUAUUUUAUUUUAGAAUUAGAAUGGAUUGUUGCGCGUUACUAAAAUGACUUAGUUGAUUAUUGUCAUUAUUUAUUAAAAUAAUUGUGAUUAUUGUUAUUAUUAUUCAAAAUAAUUUUUUUAAUUAUGAUUAUUAUUAUUAUUAUUAAAUGGUAUAAAAAUGAAUUUUUAGUUUUCAUUAAGAGAAUAAAUGUCAUUUCAAUUCUCAUUCUCAUUUUCCAUUCUUAUUCCACAUUCCCUUGGGAAUGGGAUUCCCAUUCCAUAUUCCCAAACUUCUAGGGUUUACUUAAACUUUAUUUCUAUUCCCUCUACUUAUUUCAGAAGUAAAUAAGUUAAUUGAUCUCAUUCCCCUCAUUCUUAUUCACAUUUCGAAUUAAAAAACACAUCAUUAACGUCUUGGGGGUUUUAAAACAUUUGGACCAAGGGGAAUGGAAAUUUUGCCAAACACAAGAGUGUUUAGUUGUGUUCUCAUUAUCUACGUCCACUUGUUCAUUUUCGAAAAACAUAGCGAAAAAGAUGAGUUUGUUUGUAAAAAUCAAUAUCCAUUAGUUUUUUUUAAUGAUUAUAAUUUACAUAUACAUUGGGGUUUAUAGGAACUCUCUCUCUCUCUCUUUGUGUGUGUAAAUAAACACACACAUUUUUUGUAAGGAAAAUUGUGGUAAGCCAAAUAGUAUGAGCAUGAGACCAUGAGAGCUUGCGAGCGCAAUAGGAAGUUUAAUAAGUCAAUUAAGAAUAAUUAUAUGAAAGUAUAAGAGCAUAAGACUAUGAGAAGAUUUUAACUUAGUAGCAAGCUUAAUAAGUCAAUUAAAUAAGGUUACAUGAGUGCAUGUGAGGAUGAUUGUAACACCCUAGGUGAAUCCAACAUUGGCAAAGCACGGGAGAGAUGCUAGAUUUAUAAGGGAUAAUCCACACCUUAAUUGGCAAACCGCUUGUUUGGGUGUAUGGGCGCCAAAGGAACGAAACCGUGCGAGUUUUGUUAAGGUCCAAAACAGAUAAUAUCUUGCUAAGUCUGGGUUGGGUCAUGGAAGAUGGUAUCAGAGCAGCUCUGCGUGUCCUCUUGAGCGAUGAUAGGGCAAACCUCAGCGAGGACACUGAGUCCGUAAAGGGGAUAUGUAUCACCCUCGGCGAAUCCCACAUCAGCAAAAUACGGGAGAAAUGCUGUAUUUUUAAAAGGGUGAUCGACACCGAAAUUGCCGAGACGCGUUUUAGGGUGUGUGGGUACCCUAGGAACAAAACUGUUAGGUCAUGACAGAUAAUAUCAUAGCGGCUCUACGUGUUAAUUUGAGUGAUGGUGGAGCAAUCUCAGCGAGGACGUUGAGUCCCUAAAGGGGUGUACGUAACACCCUAGGCGAAUCUCACAUUGGCAAAGUACGAGAGAGAUGCUAGGUUUAUAAGGGGGUGAUUCGCAGGGGCGGAUUUAGCAUGUGACUAGUGGGGGCUCAAGCCCCCACUGG